RNAcentral lists this ribosomal RNA (274 nucleotides) under uncultured bacterium. Its description in RNAcentral is "partial 16S ribosomal RNA". It matches the Rfam family "Bacterial small subunit ribosomal RNA", at positions 523 to 796 of the family's 1533-position model. The record is from RNAcentral.
AUACAGAGGGUGCAAGCGUUAAUCGGAAUUACUGGGCGUAAAGCGCGCGUAGGUGGUUAGUUAAGUUGGAUGUGAAAGCCCUGGGCUCAACCUGGGAAUGGCAUUCAAAACUGGCUGACUAGAGUAUGGUAGAGGGAAGGGGAAUUCCAGGUGUAGCGGUGAAAUGCGUAGAUAUCUGGAGGAACAUCAGUGGCGAAGGCGCCUUCCUGGCCUAAUACUGACACUGAGGUGCGAAAGCGUGGGUAGCAAACAGGAUUAGAUACCCUAGUAGUCC